GUUUUGUUAUCACUGGGAUGGAUUUAAAGCACAGUUUUUCUGAUUGAACACCAGGACUGUCUCCUUCUGGUAACCAGUAAUUGGAAUAUCUUCGUUUGGCCACCAAGAGAACCACCAUCUGAUUGAAAAGUUUAUUAUUCUGUUUCUACGCACGACUAGUUUAUAUUUGAGAAUUUGAGUUUCUUGAAAAUCUGUAAUUAAUUGUACAUCCUGUGGAGGGCAGUAAUACGCCUAGAUACGUCUAAACUGCCGGAAAUAGAAGAAGAAGAGGAAGAAGAAUCUUUUUUAUGCAGUUAUCUUCACGGUCACCAUUCUUUCUGUCACUGGAAGCAAUUUCUCAUCAUUUAUUUCAACAAACCUGGCUCUUCAGUUUGAACCCCUCUACUAAAUUCCUCCUGCCUAAAGGAAAGUGCUUCUUGGUUUAGUCUCACUAAGGUUUCUAGUUUCUGGACAGUUGGUAGACCAUGC
Long non-coding RNA from Hypanus sabinus (Atlantic stingray), 468 nucleotides. RefSeq lists it as uncharacterized. The record is from RefSeq and is a predicted model, not a curated record. NCBI's taxonomy places the organism in Eukaryota, Metazoa, Chordata, Chondrichthyes, Myliobatiformes, Dasyatidae. The transcript is spliced from 2 exons.